This 759-nucleotide long non-coding RNA is filed under the name Nicotiana benthamiana. Its description in RNAcentral is "long non-coding RNA (NBEN_LNC003181)". The record is from RNAcentral. Lineage: Eukaryota; Viridiplantae; Streptophyta; Magnoliopsida; Solanales; Solanaceae.
AACAACUCUGGUUCCUGUGCAAUCUAGCCAUAAUGGAGGAGUAAACAGAAAAGACUAUAAUUGACGAGGAGGAGGAAACGCGGCCAAACCUGUAAGCAUAUAUCACUAAAGUUCUCUAUAAGAUACUACGCACUUGUCCUUACACUUGCCUGUAUCCUAUCAUGCAGACCUCAGUCAUUUCUUUUAAAUAUGCGGGAGGCAAUGGGAGGAGUAGCAACAAAGGAGAAAUGAGUGAGAGGCAAGUGGUCGAAACCCUGGAUAGCUCAGACUUCUCUAAGUCACUCAAUUAGUUGCCAUAGUGAAACAUCUUACUGCAGUUAUAAGUAUCUGUACUAAUUGGUACCAUAAUGACAACCUUAGCCAUCUUGCUUAGGGGAUAUAUGUGUACUAUAAUAUCGAAACUUCUAAAUAAAGAGGCUUUUUGUGCAGGAGAUGGGUAGUUGGGUACUAACAUGAAGAUUUCUUUCAACACUGGUUCAUACAAUCCCACAAAGUUAAUUUUGUCCAGGUGAUAUAUACAAUGGAAUACAUCACUAUGCACACAUAAUAAUAAACAAUGAUUGAUUCUAAAAUACAUAAUCACACAAUGUAUCUAAUAAGAAGAAAAAAAUUCCAAUUGCACAAACUUUACAAAAGCAUUUUCAAUCACCAUCGAUGCAGGUCUAAUGUUUGCUGCUUCAAAAACAUCCAAGGAGUUUCUUGGGAGCAGUUCCAGUGGCGCGGUAUUUUGCUGCCAAUUCCUCUGCCUUAAGAAGAUCU